RNAcentral lists this ribosomal RNA (490 nucleotides) under uncultured bacterium. Its description in RNAcentral is "bacterial SSU rRNA". It matches the Rfam family "Bacterial small subunit ribosomal RNA", at positions 28 to 507 of the family's 1533-position model. The record is from RNAcentral.
GAUGAACGCUAGCGAUAGGCCUAACACAUGCAGGUCGAGGGGCAUCACAUGAAGUAGCAAUACGGAUGGUGGCGACCGGCGCACGGGUGAGUAACACGUAUGCAACCUGCCUUCAACAAGGGGAUAACCCGUUGAAAGACGGACUAAUACCCUAUAACACAGGGGUCCCGCAUGGGAAUAUUUGUUAAAGGACAACCGGUUGAAGAUGGGCAUGCGUUCCAUUAGCUAGUUGGCGGGGUAACGGCCCACCAAGGCAACGAUGGAUAGGGGAACUGAGAGGUUUAUCCCCCACACUGGUACUGAGACACGGACCAGACUCCUACGGGAGGCAGCAGUGAGGAAUAUUGGUCAAUGGACGCAAGUCUGAACCAGCCACGUCGCGUGAAGGAAGACGGCCCUACGGGUUGUAAACUUCUUUUGCAAGGGAAUAAAGUGGGCCACGUGUGGCCUUUUGCAAGUACCUUGCGAAUAAGGAUCGGCUAACUCCGUG